This 460-nucleotide ribosomal RNA is filed under the name uncultured bacterium. RNAcentral's name for it is "partial 16S ribosomal RNA". It matches the Rfam family "Bacterial small subunit ribosomal RNA", at positions 338 to 795 of the family's 1533-position model. The record is from RNAcentral.
CCUACGGGAGGCAGCAGUGAGGAAUAUUGGUCAAUGGACGAGAGUCUGAACCAGCCAAGUAGCGUGAAGGAUGACUGCCCUAUGGGUUGUAAACUUCUUUUAUAUGGGGGUAAAAUGUUCCACGUGUGGGCUUUUGUAUGUACCAUAUGCAUAAGGAUCGGCUAACUCCGUGCCAGCAGCCGAGGUAAUACGGAGGAUCCGAGCGUUAUCCGGAUUUAUUGGGUUUAAAGGGAGCGUAGGUGGAUUGUUAAGUCAGUUGUGAAAGUUUGCGGCUCAACCGUACAAUUGCAGUUGAAACUGGCAGUCUUGAGUACAGUAGAGGUGGGCGGAAUUCGUGGUGUAGCGGUGAAAUGCGUAGAGAUCACGAAGAACUCCGAUGGCGAAGGCAGCUCACUGGACGGCAACUGACACUGAGGCGCGAAAGUGUGGGGAUCAAACAGGAUUAGAUACCCGUGUAGUC